Molecule: ribosomal RNA, 889 nt
Filed under: uncultured bacterium
Lineage: Bacteria
Description: bacterial SSU rRNA
Rfam family: Bacterial small subunit ribosomal RNA
Source: RNAcentral
AGAGUUUGAUCCUGGCUCAGGACGAACGCUGGCGGCGUGCCUAAUACAUGCAAGUCGAGCGAGCUUGCCUAGAUGAUUUUGGUGCUUGCACUAAAUGAAACUAGAUACAAGCGAGCGGCGGACGGGUGAGUAACACGUGGGUAACCUGCCCAAGAGACUGGGAUAACACCUGGAAACAGAUGCUAAUACCGGAUAACAACACUAGACGCAUGUCUAGAGUUUGAAAGAUGGUUCUGCUAUCACUCUUGGAUGGACCUGCGGUGCAUUAGCUAGUUGGUAAGGUAACGGCUUACCAAGGCAAUGAUGCAUAGCCGAGUUGAGAGACUGAUCGGCCACAUUGGGACUGAGACACGGCCCAAACUCCUACGGGAGGCAGCAGUAGGGAAUCUUCCACAAUGGACGAAAGUCUGAUGGAGCAACGCCGCGUGAGUGAAGAAGGGUUUCGGCUCGUAAAGCUCUGUUGGUAGUGAAGAAAGAUAGAGGUAGUAACUGGCCUUUAUUUGACGGUAAUUACUUAGAAAGUCACGGCUAAUCUACGUGCCAGCAGCCGCGGUAAUACGUAGGUGGCAAGCGUUGUCCGGAUUUAUUGGGCGUAAAGCGAGUGCAGGCGGUUCAAUAAGUCUGAUGUGAAAGCCUUCGGCUCAACCGGAGAAUUGCAUCAGAAACUGUUGAACUUGAGUGCAGAAGAGGAGAGUGGAACUCCAUGUGUAGCGGUGGAAUGCGUAGAUAUAUGGAAGAACACCAGUGGCGAAGGCGGCUCUCUGGUCUGCAACUGACGCUGAGGCUCGAAAGCAUGGGUAGCGAACAGGAUUAGAUACCCUGGUAGUCCAUGCCGUAAACGAUGAGUGCUAAGUGUUGGGAGGUUUCCGCCUCUCAGUGUCUGCAGUCU